This 491-nucleotide ribosomal RNA is filed under the name uncultured bacterium. Its description in RNAcentral is "partial 16S ribosomal RNA". It matches the Rfam family "Bacterial small subunit ribosomal RNA", at positions 29 to 507 of the family's 1533-position model. The record is from RNAcentral.
AGUGAACGCUGGCGGUAGGCCUAACACAUGCAAGUCAAACGGCAGCACAGUAAGAGCUUGCUCUUACGGGUGGCGAGUGGCGGACGGGUGAGGAAUACAUCGGAAUCUACUUUUUCGUGGGGGAUAACGUAGGGAAACUUACGCUAAUACCGCAUACGACCUACGGGUGAAAGCAGGGGAUCUUCGGACCUUGCGCGAUUGAAUGAGCCGAUGUCGGAUUAGCUAGUUGGCGGGGUAAAGGCCCACCAAGGCGACGAUCCGUAGCUGGUCUGAGAGGAUGAUAGCCACACUGGAACUGAGACACGGUCCAGACUCCUACGGGAGGCAGCAGUGGGGAAUAUUGGACAAUGGGCGCAAGCCUGAUCCAGCCAUACCGCGUGGGUGAAGAAGGCCUUCGGGUUGUAAAGCCCUUUUGUUGGGAAAGAAAAGCAGCAGGUUAAUACCACGCUGUUCUGACGGUACCCAAAGAAUAAGCACCGGCUAACUUCGUG